ACCAGCUUGCUGCAGGGCCCCA
RNAcentral lists this microRNA (22 nucleotides) under Strongylocentrotus purpuratus (purple sea urchin). Its description in RNAcentral is "Spu-Mir-34_3p* (star (passenger))". The record is from RNAcentral. Lineage: Eukaryota; Metazoa; Echinodermata; Echinoidea; Camarodonta; Strongylocentrotidae.